RNAcentral lists this long non-coding RNA (1142 nucleotides) under Phocoena sinus (vaquita). Its description in RNAcentral is "lncRNA (ENSPSNG00000005366.1)". Lineage: Eukaryota; Metazoa; Chordata; Mammalia; Artiodactyla; Phocoenidae. The record is from RNAcentral.
GGCGACUGGGCGGCGGGUGCCAUGCGCCUGGAGCUUCAUAGUCUCAGCUCCCGCCCACCGCACCCGCCCGCCUCCGCGGUCACGCCCCAGACCUCCGACACCUGUCAAGCAGGCAAAGAGGGACACAGCAGACUCCUGCCCUGAAACACUGUGUGUCCCAACCCAGGCGGAAUUGAUGGCAGCACAGAUGAAAAAAUGCCAGAAAACCUCAGAGCAGACUGGCCUCAACCACAGCAAACAGCUCUCAACAGCCUGCCCCCAGCUCACCCUUCCUUUUCAUAAAAAAAUAAACACAGAACCUGAGAUUAAGAGCAAUUUCGGUAGGAUGAGAUCCCUGGGCACAGCACCUGCAGGAAGGAGAGAGGACUGAAAUGGAAGAUAACUCCAAGCUUUGUCUUGAGGAAUUUUUAAACCUCCAUCCAUCUCAAUUUUGUUAUUUGUGAAAUGGGGUCUUAAUAACUAUUUAAUAGGAGAAUUAUAAGAUUGCAUCGGAUGUGUGAAAGUGCUUUAUGUUUAAAGCAGUAUAUGCCGCUACAGAUUUUGAAAAUUCAUUUUUAUAUUUCCUUUGCUUUUUUUUUUUUUUCCUUUGCUUUUUAACCUAGUAAGUGCCAUGACCAGCCAUAAUGACCACAUUACACAUUUUAAAACCAUUGCUAGACUUUGGUGCUGAUGGUGUGAUAAUAGCAAUAGCAAGACAAACAGAAAGAGGAGUGUGGGUAGGUGGUGGGUGUGUGUGUUCAUGCCCAUGUGCUGAGUUUUCUUUAUGUUCUGAAAAGUUCUGUGAAAGCCAUCCAGUGUGCAAAUGGGAAGGAACACAAAUCAGGUAGGGAAUCUACCCAGGUGUCAGAGAGUCCACAUUGAUCUAACUGACAAAAUAACUGUCUAUCCCAAGUUCAUGUCAUUACUUUUAAAAAAAUAAUAACCAUUUUUACUGCUAAUAGUUUCAAAGACUUGUGUAGAUGUUUUUUACUUUGUUAUAUUGGUUAAGAUUUUUAAAGUUAGCUCUUAAGGUAAUAGCUUAUCUUAAGAUGCCUUUGUUUAAGAGAUGAGGUAAAUUCCAUCCUGGAAGCAAGAAUGACCUAGAACAGAUGCUUUUUUCCAAUUCCACUCCAAUGGAUCCCUUAGGCUGAAUUCCACCUCUU